RNAcentral lists this ribosomal RNA (211 nucleotides) under uncultured Cellulomonas sp. RNAcentral describes it as "partial 16S ribosomal RNA". It matches the Rfam family "Bacterial small subunit ribosomal RNA", at positions 1174 to 1382 of the family's 1533-position model. Lineage: Bacteria; Bacillati; Actinomycetota; Actinomycetes; Micrococcales; Cellulomonadaceae. The record is from RNAcentral.
UGGGGAUGACGUCAAAUCAUCAUGCCCUUAUGUCUUGGGCUUCACGCAUGCUACAAUGGCCGGUACAAAGGGCUGCGAUACCGCGAGGUGGAGCGAAUCCCAGAAAGCCGGUCUCAGUUCGGAUUGGGUCUGCAACUCGACCCCAUGAAGUCGGAGUCGCUAGUAAUCGCAGAUCAGCAACGCUGCGGUGAAUUACCGGUUCCCGGGCCUU